AAAUUGAAGAGUUUGAUCAUGGCUCAGAUUGAACGCUGGCGGCAGGCCUAACACAUGCAAGUCGAACGGUAACAGGAAGCAGCUUGCUGCUCUGGUGACGAGUGGCGGACGGGUGAGUAAUGUCUGGGAAACUGCCUGAUGGAGGGGGAUAACUACUGGAAACGGUGGCUAAUACCGCAUAACGUCGCAAGACCAAAGAGGGGGACCUUCGGGCCUCUUGCCAUCAGAUGUGCCCAGAUGGGAUUAGCUUGUUGGUGAGGUAACGGCUCACCAAGGCGACGAUCCCUAGCUGGUCUGAGAGGAUGACCAGCCACACUGGAACUGAGACACGGUCCAGACUCCUACGGGAGGCAGCAGUGGGGAAUAUUGCACAAUGGGCGCAAGCCUGAUGCAGCCAUGCCGCGUGUAUGAAGAAGGCCUUCGGGUUGUAAAGUACUUUCAGCGGGGAGGAAGGUGUUGUGGUUAAUAACCGCAGCAAUUGACGUUACCCGCAGAAGAAGCACCGGCUAACUCCGUGCCAGCAGCCGCGGUAAUACGGAGGGUGCAAGCGUUAAUCGGAAUUACUGGGCGUAAAGCGCACGCAGGCGGUCUGUCAAGUC
This 599-nucleotide ribosomal RNA is filed under the name Salmonella enterica subsp. enterica serovar Lubbock. RNAcentral's name for it is "bacterial SSU rRNA". It matches the Rfam family "Bacterial small subunit ribosomal RNA", at positions 1 to 589 of the family's 1533-position model. The record is from RNAcentral. Lineage: Bacteria; Pseudomonadati; Pseudomonadota; Gammaproteobacteria; Enterobacterales; Enterobacteriaceae.